UGCCACAUUAACCCUUGCUGUCUGGAUUAGU
This 31-nucleotide non-coding RNA is filed under the name Rattus norvegicus (Norway rat). The record is from RNAcentral. Lineage: Eukaryota; Metazoa; Chordata; Mammalia; Rodentia; Muridae.